ACGGGUAACGGGGAAUAAGGGUUCGGUUCCGGAGAGGGAGCCUGAGAAACGGCUACCACAUCCAAGGAAGGCAGCAGGCGCGCAAAUUACCCAAUCCCGACACGGGGAGGUAGUGACAAUAAAUAACGAUGCAGGGCCCUUUCGGGUCUUGUAAUUGGAAUGAGUACAAUGUAAAUACCUUAACGAGGAACAAUUGGAGGGCAAGUCUGGUGCCAGCAGCCGCGGUAAUUCCAGCUCCAAGAGCGUAUAUUAAAGUUGUUGCAGUUAAAAAGCUCGUAGUUGAACCUUGGGUUUUGGAGGGAGGUCCACCUCACGGUGAGUACUUCCAUAUCCAAGACCUUUCCUCUGCUUCCUCGCAAGAGGCAGCAGAAUAUUACUUUGAGUAAAUGAGAGUGUUCAAAGCAGGCGCACGCUUGAAUCUGUUAGCAUGGAAUAAUAGAAUAGGACGCAUGGUUCUAUUUUGUUGGUUUCUAGGACCAUCGUAAUGAUUAAUAGGGACGGUCGGGGGCAUCAGUAUUCAGUUGUCAGAGGUGAAAUUCUUGGAUUUACUGAAGACUAACUACUGCGAAAGCAUUUGCCAAGGACGUUUUCAUUAAUCAAGAACGAAAGUUAGGGGAUCGAAGAUGAUCAGAUACCGUCGUAGUCUUAACCAUAAACUAUGCCGACUAGGGAUCGGGCGGCGUUCAUCUAGUGACGCGCUCGGCACCUUACGAGAAAUCAAAGUUUUUGGGUUCUGGGGGGAGUAUGGUCGCAAGGCUGAAACUUAAAGGAAUUGACGUAAGGGCACCACCAGGAGGGACCUGCGGCUUAAUUUGACUCAACACGGGGAAACUCACCAGGUCCAGCACA
This 849-nucleotide ribosomal RNA is filed under the name Candidozyma auris. RNAcentral describes it as "SSU rRNA". It matches the Rfam family "Eukaryotic small subunit ribosomal RNA", at positions 355 to 1230 of the family's 1831-position model. The record is from RNAcentral. Lineage: Eukaryota; Fungi; Ascomycota; Pichiomycetes; Serinales; Metschnikowiaceae.